This is a non-coding RNA of Schistosoma margrebowiei, 45 nucleotides long. The record is from Rfam. NCBI's taxonomy places the organism in Eukaryota, Metazoa, Platyhelminthes, Trematoda, Strigeidida, Schistosomatidae.
AUACAGCUGACGAGUCCCGAACAGAACGAAACACGCGUUUUGUAU